UACGGAGGGGGUUAGCGUUGUUCGGAAUUACUGGGCGUAAAGCGCACGUAGGCGGAUCGGAAAGUUGGGGGUGAAAUCCCGGGGCUCAACCCCGGAACGGCCUCCAAAACUAUCGGUCUAGAGUUCGAGAGAGGUGAGUGGAAUUCCGAGUGUAGAGGUGAAAUUCGUAGAUAUUCGGAGGAACACCAGUGGCGAAGGCGGCUCACUGGCUCGAUACUGACGCUGAGGUGCGAAAGUGUGGGGAGCAAACAGG
Molecule: ribosomal RNA, 253 nt
Filed under: uncultured bacterium
Lineage: Bacteria
Description: partial 16S ribosomal RNA
Rfam family: Bacterial small subunit ribosomal RNA
Source: RNAcentral